This 437-nucleotide ribosomal RNA is filed under the name uncultured bacterium. RNAcentral's name for it is "bacterial SSU rRNA". It matches the Rfam family "Bacterial small subunit ribosomal RNA", at positions 85 to 518 of the family's 1533-position model. The record is from RNAcentral.
UUGGUGGCGACCGGCGCGACGGGUGAGUAACGCGUAUGCAACCUACCUAUCAGGAGGGGAAUAACCCGGCGAAAGUCGGACUAAUACCGCAUAAAACAGGGGCACCGCAUGGUGAUAUUUGUUAAAGAAAUUCGCUGAUAGAUGGGCAUGCGUUCCAUUAGGUAGUUGGUGAGGUAACGGCUCACCAAGCCGACGAUGGAUAGGGGAACUGAGAGGUUGGUCCCCCACACUGGUACUGAGACACGGACCAGACUCCUACGGGAGGCAGCAGUGAGGAAUAUUGGUCAAUGGGCGGGAGCCUGAACCAGCCAAGUCGCGUGAAGGAAGAAGGAUCCAUGGUUCGUAAACUUCUUUUGCAGGGGAAUAAAGUGCAGGACGUGUCCUGUUUUGUAUGUACCUUAUGAAUAAGGAUCGGCUAACUCCGUGCCAGCAGCCGC